RNAcentral lists this long non-coding RNA (201 nucleotides) under Homo sapiens (human). RNAcentral's name for it is "HSALNT0170146". The record is from RNAcentral. Lineage: Eukaryota; Metazoa; Chordata; Mammalia; Primates; Hominidae.
UGGCCUUUCUAGACCACGAGAACUUACAUGAACAGAUUUUGGAGGUGUGAAACAUGUAUUUGUUUUAUCAAGGAUCUCACUUGGCUUUUAGAGACGUUCUCUUACAGAAAUGUUGGACUUUGGUGUGUAAGGCAACUUAAUGGGAUUUUUAUUGCAGUAAAAUUAAUAUAGAACUUUAAAAAGGAAUUUAUUAUAUCAGCA